UUUUUGAUUUGUGUGAGCAAAACCGGCGCCU
This 31-nucleotide non-coding RNA is filed under the name Mus musculus (house mouse). Lineage: Eukaryota; Metazoa; Chordata; Mammalia; Rodentia; Muridae. The record is from RNAcentral.